This is a long non-coding RNA of Mangifera indica (mango), 4332 nucleotides long. RefSeq lists it as uncharacterized. The transcript has 2 exons. The record is from RefSeq and is a predicted model, not a curated record. NCBI's taxonomy places the organism in Eukaryota, Viridiplantae, Streptophyta, Magnoliopsida, Sapindales, Anacardiaceae.
ACCCUGCAAACUAUUGAUAUUUGCGCCAACAAUUAUUUUACUAUCGAUUUAACCCCCUCUCUUCCCUCUCAUCUUUCAGACUGUUACCACGCACUCUCCCGCUUUCUCUGUGCUAGGGUUUUGAAUUUCGAUUUCUCUUUUGUCAUUUUUGAAAUAUGAUUCGCAGAAAUGUUUAGCAUUGGAAGAUCUAUCGGAGUUUAUGGGUGAAAAUGCGGGAAAUCAAAUGUGGAGUACUUCGUGGAAAUUUGCAGGAUUCAUUGAAGUCCGUAAAAAUAUAAAGGGCUAUUUUGUAAUAUUCAGCCUUCGAUAAAAACAGUCUUUUUCGCUUCUGGAAAAUUCUUCCUCCCUCCCUCCCUCACUCUCUCUUCUUCGUUCUUCCUCGUAGUUUAGGGUUUAAUUUUCUGCCUUUUUUUCUUGCAAAUCUUAGUGUUGUAGCUUGAGUAUCAGAGCCACAGAACUGUGUCACAUGUCCUGUUGCUAUUUUCUAUCACAGUAAGUUUACAGUGCAAAAGUUUAGUCCUUGACUCUAAAUGUUACGAAUCAUCUGUUUUCUUUAGUUCCUGCAGUUUCUGUUUAGUUUUUUUUUGCUUUAUUUUGUCAUUUUAUUGCUUGGAUAUUGUUAAUCUUUCUACUCUUUGUUGUUACUGUUGUCGAUUCAGUUUAUUUUGGUGAAGAUCUGAAAGCUUACUAGUUAUAUUCCUUGAUUUGUUCUGUUUAGUUGUAGAUCUGACUACUAUUGCACUGUAAAUGCUGUAUCUGCUUCUCUGACCGUAAAUCUGUGUUAAUCCAUGUCUUGCAGUUUUGUGAAGAUUCAAUCAUUCCUUCUUGUAUAACCUCUUGCUGGUUGUGUUUGAUUGUCGAUCUAGUCUCUUUCUACUUACUGAAUACUCAUUUUCCGAUAAUCUGUUUGCUCUGACUCGUUUCCUUUAAAAAAAAAAAAAAAUCUUUUGCUGGUAUUCACUUCUUACAUUUGUUUGUACUGUUAUUCUCUCUUUUGUUAAAAAUAAAAAAUCUGCAGCUUAUUCUUAGCAGUCUAUCGUUUUGUUUUAAAGUCUCUUUCUGUGUCCCUAAAGUAGGUUUUCUCAUAAACCUAUUUUCCAAAAAGGGAAAAAAAAUAAAAGACUAAAAACAAGAAAAGAUCAUCAAACAAUUAAAAUCUGUCUAAUCAUGGAAGACUCUCCAAAUGAAACAAUUAACCCUGUGGCUAGUGGUAGUCACUCUAUGUCCCCUGCCCUAGGUUCCUCAACAUUUUCAUCCAGUCUCCAAUGGUAAUGUUGAUCGCAUUAGAAGUAUUUCUCAGUAACUUAAGUGAUGCUAAACUACCAUAUAUCUUAGAAGAAUUAGAUAAAUCUGCUGUGUACUAGUUUUCUAAUGGUUGUCCAGAUAGGUAUGGAAGAAUAAUAUUUUGAAGCAUGCUGAAAAAAUAGCUGGGAAAACUAGUUUAAUUAUGAGAGGUCAAAUGUUUUGGAGCAAAGAUAAGCCAUGUCAGGUCCUUCAAUUCAUAUGAGGGCUUUCAAGUCCAGAAUGUCUUCGUGCUCUUUGUACUCUUCUUACACUGUCAAUCUUUAAGUCUUUCAAACAUUUACAAUCAAUGAUUUUCAAUAUAUCAUAACACUUUAUAUCUGUGGACAAAACUUUAAGUGACUUUGAACAACCAAGGAAUUGAAGGCUUAGAGAUUGCAUAGUGUUUAGUAAUCUUUUAGAGCUCAAAAACUUUUAGAGAACUUCUGAACUUUUAAGCUUAUAUUCAAUAGAUGCAAGGACUUUAAACAAAUCAUUUCAUCUAUCAACAACUCAGCAUUGUUGAAUAGAACACUCUCUUUUGACACGUCACUUGAAGAACUACAUUCCAACGUUCUCAAUAUGUUUAACAUUAAAAACUUAGAAAUCAAUUGUUGGAGAAUUUUACAAAGUUGAGAUGUAUGCUCUAAGCUUGAACUUUUGAGUCUCACCAUGGUUUUCAACUAUUUUGACAAUUCUUCUAUAGCAGUUUUGAUAGAUUAAAGUGUUGAAGAAAAAUCAAAUUUGAAAUUUUUAGAAGGUAAUUUGGCUAGGGAAUAGGUUAAGAAUUUUGAGACAAGACAUAAAUUGGAAGAAAUAAGCGUGAAUCAUCUUUGAUCGAUUACUAUUAAGAAAUAAAUUUAAGAGAUGUGCAAGUAGGGCUCUCUGACAGAAUCUCACUAUAUACCAAUCUUCAACAUUUGGUGCUUCAAUUAAUCUUGCACCUUUACAAACCAAAUGAUUUCCUUUCUCCUUCUCAACCUAUUGUGCUAUCCACAAAGUCAUGUUAUGAAUAAUAUCAUGCAUUUUUACACAGUUGCCUUCUGUUUAUCCCAACAAACAUGCUUAAAGAAGAAUGCCAAUAAUGCAAUAUUCUUCAUUUUGUACUCCACUUUUGUUUUUCAAAAAUCCUUCUCUAACCUAUUCAUCUAUCAGGUUCUUAUAGAAAUUCUAAUCUUCAGGAAAUAAAGUAUAAUAUUAGAGACAAAAUCUAAUUAUAUCAUUAGCUAAACUAUCAUAACUGAACUUUAAAAACCUUAUAUAUUAUCUUUUAUACCCAAGAAUUUCAAAGAUGAUUCCUUCAAGACCUCAAUUGCAUAUUUUCAUUAUUAAAGAAUGUGAUCGCUUGCCAUUAGCUCUAAUUACUAUUGGUCGGGUUAUGGCGCCUAAGAAGACACCUGAAGAGUAGAAAUAUGCAAUUGAGGUUUUGAGGAAAUCAUCCUUUAAAUUUUUGGGUGUACAAGAUGUAUAUACUUUUAAAGCUCAGUUAUGAUAGUUUAGCUAAUGAUACAAUUAGAUCUUGUCUCUUAUAUUGUAGUUUAAUUCUUGAAUAUCAUAGAAAUUCUAUUAAAGACCUGAUAGAUCAAUAGGUUGAGGAGGAAUUUUCGGAAGACAAAAUGACGGAUAUUAUAUUAUUGACAUUCUUCUUGAAAGAUAAUAGUGAAAAAAUGCAUGAUGAUAUUCAUGACAUGACUUUGUAGAUAGCAAGAGAAGUUGAGGAGACGAAAGGUUAUUUUGUUUGUGCAGGUGCAGGCUUAACUGAAACACCACAUGUUGAAGAUUGAAAUAUAAUGAGGAGGAUGUCCAUGAUAGAAAAUUAAGUUGAGAUUCUAUCAGAGAACCCUGCUUGUCCUCAUCUCCUAACUUUAUUUCUUAGUAGUAAUCUGCUAAAGAUGAUGAGUUCUUUCAAUUUAUAUCUUGUUUUAAAGUUCUUAACCUAUCAGAUUCCCUCUCUCUAACCAAAUUACCUUCUUAAAUUUCAAAAUUAAUUUCAUUCUAGCACUUUGAUCUAUCAAAUACUGUUUUAAAAGAAUUGCCGAAAGAGUUGAAGGUCAUGAUGCAACUUUAAAGUUUGAACUUGGAGCAUACAUCUCAACUUUGUAAAAUUCCCUGACAGUUGAUUUAUAAGUUCUUAAUGUUGAAUGUAUUGAAAAUGUUGGAUUAUGGUUCUUCAAGUGAAAUGGCAAAAGAGAGUGUUCUAUUAAACAACAGUGAGCUUUUGAUAGAGGAAUUGAUUUUUUGAAGUCCUUACAUCUGUUGAACAUCAGCAUAAAGUUCAAAAGUUCUACAAAUAUUUUUGUGCUCUCAAAGAUUGCUAAACUCAGUGCAAUCUUUAUGCCUUCAAUUCUUUGGUCGCUCAAAGCUUUGUCAACCGAUAUGAAGUGUCUUGACACAUCGAAAAUCAUGGAUUGUAAAUAUUUGGAAGAAUUGAAUAUUGACUGUAUAAGAAGAGUACAGAGAACACAAAGAUCUUCUGAAUUUGAAAGCCUUCAUUGGUUGAUAUAAGCUCCCACUCAAGAUUGAAGGACCUGACGUAGCUUAUCCUUGCUUCAAACACAAAAGAAGGUGCAGUGUUGAUCAAAGGACAGAAACAUUGGUGGGACAAGCUGCAAAAGGAAUAUCAAGCCAGUCAAAAGUGCUUUCCGUCCAUGUUUCAGUAAUUGUUGGUGACAAUUUUUGUUGUUUGGUGUAACAUGUGAGUUUUUUUUUUUUUCUUUUGGCUGAGGCAUUUAUCAUUUGUACUUGUUUGUAGCUGUCUUUAGCUUUGAUGGUUUUAUGUCCUAGUUUGAUUAUCCAUGAGGACUGAACCUGGAUUCUUUGUAUCCUGUAUAAGAUUUACUCAUGUUUAAGAACUGCAUUGUUGCAGUGUAUUCCCUCAGGCAAGGAUAAUAGAACAUUGCAAUCUUCAAUCACAAGGACACUCAAUUUGGAAAAAAAGGCAUCUUAUAGUGAGCGCUUUUAUAUUUCUCUGAGGGUCUCUCUUCCAUCACAAGAGUAAUCACAUUUUCUAAUCCAUUAAUACUAAGUCUUCCUUGAAGAAACCUUAAAUUC